This is an RNA transcript of Camelus dromedarius (Arabian camel), 3895 nucleotides long. RefSeq lists it as uncharacterized. NCBI's taxonomy places the organism in Eukaryota, Metazoa, Chordata, Mammalia, Artiodactyla, Camelidae. The transcript has 11 exons. The record is from RefSeq and is a predicted model, not a curated record.
ACCGAGGUUUGGAAGCUCCAGCUCCGAGCCGGGGAUCGGCCCCAAAGGCUUCUCAGCUCUUGCCCGGUAGGCCUUUGGCUCCUGCCCGGGGCCGGGGCCUCCGGCUGUGGAAGUGCAAGGACCAGCUCAGUGGCGUGGGGGCUGUUCCCCGGGCUGAGAGCCUCAGGCUGUAAAUACCAGCUUCUCCUGGUGAAGUCGGCAAAAUGGAGCGUCAGUGCUGAGGGCACUUCCGUCUCCUCCCUCAGUGUUUCUGCCGCAGACGAGCAGACACGCACCGACGUGGCCUUCAAUCUACGAGGACUGCAGGCUGGUGGAGAAGAGGAUCGAGGACUUCACUGAGUCACUCUUCAUCUUGCUCAAGUACAAGUGGCUGUAUAGGGCCCCCAACAAGUCUGGGGACAAGAUCCCCCUCCUCUGCACCUUGUUUGAGAAGGAGUUCUUCAUGGGACUGGACACAGACAGCAGUACGUUUUGGUUACUGAGACCCUCGAAUUCCCAUAUGAAUUGUAGCAGCAGCUAGUCAGUUUCUGCAGAGGAGGCCGCUGAGAUUGUGAUCGAGACCACGUUGAAUGCACAGAUCGCUCUGGGGAGCACUGCCAUCCCAAGAGCGCUGUCUUCUGAUCCAUGAAUGUGCGUGGUGUGUCUGUCCAGGGGAAGAGUACAAUUCAACAGUAUAAAGAUUGAUUGUGAGCUAAUGAGAUAGACAAGACAACCGAACAUUUGUUAAAUAUCCUUUCAUGCUGGAAACAAAUGUAUUAUACACACAAAAAGCACACAAACCACGGUAGUACCGUGAUUACAAACGUGGGUCCGAGUUCAAGUCCUGCUCUGGAGUGACCAGUCCUGUGAGACGGAGAACUGUUCUACCCUCUCAUCUGUUGGUGUGACUUUUCAUGGAAUCCAGGAAACAGCCCUAAGCCACCUGCCUCUUCACUCUUCUCCGUGGUGGUUUUCUUCCCUGACUAGAAGAGGGUUUUGCAUAGGAAAUUUUCUUUGUUCCCCUUUUCUUGGAGUCUCUCUUUCUGUCUGCCCAUCUCUCACCUGUCCAUCUGUCCAUUUCUCUACCCACUCAUUCUUCUGACUUGUUCCAAGGAGCACUUCAGGAAGCUUACAGAAGAACAGAUACCAAAUAAACAGGUGCCCUCACCUACAGUGGCAUCCAUCCAGACACCAGCACUGACACUGUCCGUGCUCAGAACUGCCUCAGCCCUGAAGACACAACUGACAAAUAGAAGGGGGCCAUGUCCUGUUACAGCAGGUGCUCUCAUUUGUGGAUUCUUAUGUAACUGUGCGGUGUUAAUCAGGAUCGCCCGUUCUACACUGUGUGACGCUGCUGCCGUGCCUCCUAGUUACUUGUUUCUGAUCUGAGGAGCAGGAGCAAGGAACGCAGGGAGAGAUCCAGGAAGACAUCUGACUGUGUUAAGAGAUGAAAAUCACAGCGACACAGGAAGUGAGGACAUUUGCAGCAAAGUAAAAUGACUUCACAACUAUUGCAUCAGAGCUGCCGGUGUGAGAGAGCCUAAGCCUGUCUCAGAGUGCAGGGGACAAGCGGAAAGGAAUGUGUAAGAAUGCUGGUGACUCAGUUAUAAGCAUGCUUUGAAGCUGUCCAUGUCCUCGCCAUUGAGAAGCGGAGCCUGGAAUCUUCCAAAUUUCUCCAGAAUGCGGUCUACAUUCACCUUCAGCAGUAAGGAUGUGAGCAGAAGAGAAAACCCCCUGCUUCACAGUUGAAGCUGUUGUUUUGUGCGAAACUGACCAAAGGUUGGAAACCAGCCGUCAGCGGUGCUGGCAAAUGAAGACUUCGGGAUUGGGUGGAUCACUUGCUGUGACUUCCAGCAUUCCUAGGAGAGAAUUCAGCAGUGCAGCAUCCUCUCCGAGCUCUAUGAGUUGAUCGGCUUCCACCGCAAGUCCGCCUUCUUCAAGCGGGUGGCCCCCGUGCAGCGAGCGGCCCCCGGCAUCCCGGAGCCUGGCGGGAAGGCCUGCUACCGACUCCUUCUGCAGACGCUUCCUGGCUACAGUCUGUCGCUGGAUCUGCAGGACUUCAGCAAAGGUGUUGGAACUAAAACAUUGCUUCAGUCCCAUUAACCAUGCCUGGUUUGGGCCCUGCUGUCCUGUCUCAUCAGGGUGAAUUCUGAUUCAUUUAGAACAGGGCUCAGCAGACUUUUUCUGUCAAGGGCUUGGGAGUAAGUAUUUCAGGGUCUGCAAACCUCCUGAUCUCUGGUGCAGCUGCUCAGCUCUGCUGUUCAGACGCCAGAGCAGCCGGACAUUCCACACACCCACAGAGCUUUAUUAACAGCUGUGUCUGGGGCUGGAUUCGGUGUAUGAACUGCAGUUUGUCCCCACAGCCUCCUCACUAUUGACGCCUGCACCAGAGCGUGCAUUUGCGACAAUGGGUGAACCUGCACUGACACGUCAUCAUCACCCAGAGCCCAGACUUGACACUAGGAUUUACACUUGGUGGUGUGCACUCUGUGGGUUUGGACAGAUGUGCAAUGACAUGUAUCCACCGUCAUAGCAUCAUACAGAGUAGUCUGUCUUAGUGACCUUAAAAUGCUCCGUGCUGCACCUCAUUCAUUGCUCCUUCCCCUCUAGCCUCUGACAGCCACUGAUCUUUUAGUCUCUGUGGUUUUCCCUUUCCCAGAACACCAUACAGUUGGAAUCAGACAGUUGCGGAACCUUCCCAGAUUGGCUUCUUUCACUUAGUAAUAAGCAUUUAAGGUUCCUCCAUGUCUUUCCAUGCCUUGAUAACUCAUUUCAUUUUAGCACCAAAUAAUAGUCCAUUUUCUGGCUGGACCACAGUUUAUCCAUUCACCUACUGAAGAACAGCUUAAUUGCUUCUGAGUUCUGAUGAUUAUGAAUAAAGCUGCUAUUAACAUCUGUAUGCAGAUUUGUGUGUGGACAUAAGUUUCCAUUUCGUCGAGUAAACACCAAGGAGCACAGUUGCCGGAUCAUAUAUUAGGAGUACGUUUAGUUUUGUAAAAAAUUGCCAUACAGUCUUCCAAAGUAUCUGGGCCAUUUUACAUUCCCACCAGCAAUGCAUGAGAAUUCCUGACGCUCCACAUCCUCACCAGCAUUCGGUGCUGUCAGUGUUCUGCAUUUUGGCAGUUCUGACAGGUGUGCAGUGGUACCUCGCUGUUUCAGUCUGCAUCCCCUUGAUGACAGAUGCUGUGGAGCAUCUUUCCAUAGACUUCUUUGGCAUCUAGAUUUCUUCUUUGAUGAGGUGUGUGUUCAGGCACUUUGCUCAUUUUUUAAUCAGGUUUUUCAUCCUUCUUGUUGAGUUUAAAGAGAUUUUGGUAUAUUCUGGAUAUCAGCCCUUUAUCAGUGUGUCCCUGCCCUUCACCUGCAGCACCGGAGUUGUCCUUUGGGUCUCAGUGGAGUGUCAGCUCUUCAAAGAGGUUCCCUGUCUUCCCUCAGCCUAAAUACUGUCCUUGUAUUUUUCACUUUCAUUGACUCAUUUUGUUCUUUUUAAAUAGCAUUCCCCAUAAUUUGUAAGUACAUUAAAAAAAAAGAAGGGCAAUGAUUGAACACCACCUCCCCCACCAGGCCGUGUGCCCUGUGAGAGCAGAGGCCCUGUCCCCACUCACCGUUUCCCAUGACAGCACAUGGCACAUGUCCAUGUAAAAGUGUGUAACGUGGGGCCAAACCUGAUGAGCAGCUAUGAUGACAUAUUUUGGCUACCAUUUAUUGAGUAGACUUUGUUUCUGAUGUUAAUUAUUAAAUCACAUGAAUGAAACUUGUUUGUUUUGAAAAAUAAAACAACAAAGCACACCUCCAUUUGAUUGGUACUUUCUACUUAGCCUUCUGACCCAGGAGGGGAUGUUCACCAUCAUUUUGUGGAGGAGGUUGGGGAGGUAAAGUAAGAGAGUGAGAUCAAAUAAAGUAAAAAUGAUAACUAUCA